UACGAAGGGUGCUAGCGUUGUUCGGAAUGACUGGGCGUAAAGGGUGCGUAGGCGGCGCAGCAAGUCAGGCGUGAAAGCCCCGGGCUCAACCUGGGAACUGCGCUUGAGACUGGUGUGCUUGAGACCGGGAGAGGAUGGCGGAAUACCCAGUGUAGCGGUGAAAUGCGUAGAUAUUGGGUAGAACACCGGUGGCGAAGGCGGCCAUCUGGACCGGAUCUGACGCUGAGGCACGAAAGCGUGGGGAGCAAACAGG
RNAcentral lists this ribosomal RNA (253 nucleotides) under uncultured bacterium. RNAcentral describes it as "partial 16S ribosomal RNA". It matches the Rfam family "Bacterial small subunit ribosomal RNA", at positions 524 to 776 of the family's 1533-position model. The record is from RNAcentral.